AUGCUUCUGUCUCGACCAGUGGACGGCAACCUGGGGCACGCGGCGCGUGCAACACUUUGCACGCGUAAGGAAAGACAGCAGCAUGCGGGGGUGUGAGAACUAUGAUCGCUUGAUGUGUCGUGUGUAUUUUUCGGAUUUGAAUGGCGAUCUCGUCUCAAAAGAGCUUUUCUUUUCCCCCUAUGGAAUCGUGAAGAAAUGGUCCAAUCACGCAGCUCUGUAACUCUGACCCCCCUUCCCCCCUAUAUAAAUGCGGACCGUUGCUGGAGUGGCCGUCACGUGACGUACGACGUGACACACCUGCGCCAAUACCAAGCAUUGAGUCUUUCCGACUGGAGUCAUGAGGAGGGCCAACAGGCGCGCAAAGAAUCACAAAAGCGGACGCAAAGUUUUUCAAUGAACUGCAAAAGUGAUCCGAUGGAGAGGAAUCACCUUUCUCAGGUCCACUGUUUCAGUGAAAGGAGGCGGCUCUGAAGAGGAACACUCUUCUUCUUCAACAACCAGGUCUCUCUGAGACUUGUGUGUGUUCCUGUGAAGAGAACCAGGAUGGCAGCCAGGCUCCACAUACUGCAGUCCAAACCUUUCCCCAGUGUCGGCCUGUGACAACACUAAGGCAGGAUACUUGGCUUGUCCUGUCACUUCCUUUGACAGCUUGUUCAGCUCUGCAAUCAGAGCUGGAUUAAAAACUGAAGGAAGCUUCAGACCAGGUCGCUUCAGGCUCCCAAGGCGCUGGAAGUUCCACCCAGCUACUCCAGUCAUGCCUUGGGCCUGGAAAAGUUUUGUGGAGAGCUGAUUUCCAGUCACCUAUUUGGACUGGUGGAAAUGAAAUCCCUCCUGCUGUGAUGUGCCUCGCACCGGGACCAAGAUCGGUACCGCUGCCGCUUCCCCCUUGAUGUGGUUCAGCUGUGAUGUGCCACCGUGUCUGUAGAGGAUCCCGUCUCCCACCUCCAGCUGAAUCCUUCAGCAUUGUUGUUUUAAACAGUGGUACGCCAUCUGGAUCCGAUUCAAAAAGGAACCUCUUCAGAAUACUACAUUUGCACCAGCAGCUCUCUGGGUUCUGGGAUUUUGGUGCAGCAGUGCUCCCUGAUGUGCUGCUUUGUGGGGUUUGCUGGCAGGAUCCCACAGAAGGUGGAGGCCUCCUCCAGCCUGUCAAAGGUCUUCUUAGAAUGCAUACCAGUUCACGGCUGGAUUGCUCGGUUGGAAAGGUAAAGGAUGGCCACACAGGAAACCAGGGAUCGAUUCUCGGGCAGAAUUAACAAUGGAGACAUUACCAUAUCAAUGGUGAGCACUUAACAUCACCCAGUUAAUGCCACUGCCUGCCUGUGCAUGUGCAUGAUGGUCAGAGUGGCUGUAGAUGCGAACUCUAUCAGUCUGCAUCAGGGCAGCUGUGGCUACAAUAAUGAUGGACAUACUAUAAGCGCAGAUAAAACCGGUUAUCUGGUUGUCCUCAAGUCACUACCUAAAGGUGGCUCUACUGGUCUUUCAGCUAAAUAGCUCCUCACAUCUCCAGAAAUGAAAGCAGACUCUCCUUUUAGGGAUAUCAACAUUAAACAAUGGAUCUCUCUCUCUUCAACGUUGUUAAUUAAAUAAAUGGUGGAGUCAAUCCAGAUUAAUGAUAAGCUGUUAUCCUAAACUUUGUCCUCUCUGAUGAGCUUGUCCUGGAGCUCAGGGUUACCUUUGAUCCUCUUGGCUUCAUCUGAAAGGUCCUGCCUCAGAAACCCAGCUGGGCCUUGUCUGAAGCUCAAGCUGACGUUCCCAGGAAAAAUUCAUUUCUUCUUCAUUCUGAAGAUCUGUAAUAAAAGAUGCAUUUAUUGUGGUUAGUGGGUGAAAUAAUCCAGGUGUACUGCAAAAUAAAAAAAAUGUUAAUACAUAAUCUGCCUUUGGUAAAAUAAAAAAAGGUUUGGAAAAAAAACAGUGUUUCAACUCUCAUCCGAAAAGCUGAUAUCCUCACAGCUGAUGUUUCAGGCCAUUGAUGUCCAACAAUGAUGGAAAAGGAAAAGGUCUCCAAAGUAGAAACUUCAUCCAGUUGGACUUUUUUUUACUUACGUCAAACUUUGACAUGUACUCUUGUGUUUAAAUAGUGGUCUGUUCCUCCUCAUCCUGUAAAUCCGGAUCGCCACAAUAUCUUGACUACUACAACGAUAUGGAAACAGCCCCCCCUAAUGUCGCUUUUGGUCAAGCAAUAUUUCACACCCGUUGUAUUGUGAACUGACAUGGAGAGUGACUUGGCGAGGUUUUCAAGAUGGCGGCCUAUGUGUUUCCGUAGUGUAGUGGUUAUCACGUUCGCCUCACACGCGAAAGGUCCCCGGUUCGAAACCGGGCGGAAACAACUUUUUUUUAUUAACAUAAAACAAACGCCACUUGAUCCCUAACUUUUUGGUUGAAUUCUUUCUUAAGAUGAAUAUUAUAAAACAAAAAAGACUAAAAUGUUUCAGCCUGUAGUAUCUAUAUUUGUAUUUUUUAUUUGUUUUUUUUGUUUUUGGUUUUUUUAGUCAACAAAAGUGUCUUUUUAAGAAAAUCAAAACUUUACUCAUCCAGUCGUGUUUUUUAUUGUCUGUUAAAAAAAAA
This is a non-coding RNA of Oryzias latipes (Japanese medaka), 2565 nucleotides long. The record is from RefSeq and is a predicted model, not a curated record. Lineage: Eukaryota; Metazoa; Chordata; Actinopteri; Beloniformes; Adrianichthyidae.